AUUGAAAAAAAAGCGCCAGGACUAAGUGAAGUUUGAAGGUAAGUGAACUUUUGGUGGUUUAGUUUUUUGAAAAAGAAUUUAGAUGGAAGUAAUCUUUUCUUUAAAGUUACAUGAAGAUCUAAGUAAAUCUUUUUAAAGGAAACUCGACUCACAUUCGUUCGCUGAGUAAGUUCGACUGACCAAAUCAUAGAUUUGGAGUCUCACUUGCCCGAUUAUACUGGGUAAGUUCAAACUACUAAAUCAAAGAUUUAGGUUUUCACUUAAGUUGACGAGGUUGGGGAGUAUCGAAACUUCGGCGGGUGCCCCACGGUAUCGCACUACCGUAAACGGCUGGUAAAACUGUAAAGCAAUUUGCAGCACAAAUUCAGUCUGGUGUUAAAA
Molecule: non-coding RNA, 381 nt
Filed under: Clostridium sp.
Lineage: Bacteria; Bacillati; Bacillota; Clostridia; Eubacteriales; Clostridiaceae
Description: GlcN6P sequence
Rfam family: glmS glucosamine-6-phosphate activated ribozyme aptamer (bases 234-381)
Source: RNAcentral